Long non-coding RNA from Papio anubis (olive baboon), 4308 nucleotides. The record is from Ensembl. NCBI's taxonomy places the organism in Eukaryota, Metazoa, Chordata, Mammalia, Primates, Cercopithecidae.
CAGACUAUCCUGCUGGACCUAGGAGAGGGGAACAUCACCAUGGUAGAAUAAUUCUGAAACAACAUCACCGAAUCUAUUUUAUCAUGGUCCAUUUAAAAUUGCUGUGAAGGACCUAGAAUAAAAUUCUGCUUAGUAACUAAUUUAAUCAAAUAUUUUGCUCUUAAGGUUUAUUCUUUUUGUUCUGAUUCAUACUUUUCUGUAUGUGGGUAUUCUAGAAGUUUGCAAUCCAUGAAAACUAAUGAUGAUUCCUCAUGUGAAAUGCACGUCUGCCCUGCCUUUUCCUGCAAACAUGUUGCCACUGCUAGUACCAGCAGGACCAUCUUGCCACCACCAUCAUAACCUGAGGAAUUCAGCCCCCAUUCCCAUCCUACAGACACAAAAAAUGAAGCCCUGUAAGGGUAAUGACUUUCCAAAACCACAAAAUAAGAGGCAGAAGAGAAUGAACACUUAAACUUAGGUCUUGACUCCAAGACACUAACACAUUCUUUAAGAGUCCUUGUGUCAUCUGGUUUAGUUCUUUUCAUCACCAAUUUCAUGCCUUGGAAGACUUUUAAUUUCGAAGAUAAAGGCCAAAAUUAGAACCCUGAUAGCCUCCCCUUCCCAAAUCUCUGCUAGUGUAUGGCAAGGAGGAGGGUGCCUACAGUAUAAUGACAGGGGUGGUACAAGAAAGUGUUUGACCCUCAUUUGAUCUUGGGAAUUAGUGAUUAGAAGGGCAUCUGACUGUGAUUAGGGCACUAGACUAACUUCUUCCAAAUUUCUGGGUUCUGACUCAGGAUUCUCUUAAGUUCAAGAAAGCCAUUUACAAAUUUCAAAUCAAGGCAAAAGAAGGGAAGUUUCUUUGAGGCUUUUGCAAUUUCACUUCUCAGAGCUGGGUUACUACCGGUUGCUGCAGGACUGGGCUGGUCCGGAGAAACUGGAAUGGAAACCAUGCUAGUUCAUAAAGUAUGAUGAUGUCAAAAACAAGCACAGACCAAUGUAGAUCAAUACGGCAAGUCAAGAAGAGAGUCAAAGACAACAAUCAUAGGACUAGACCAAGCUGGAGCAAACAGGCCAGGAGCAGAGUCCUCCUUGGGAAACCACUUCACUUUUCACAUUAUCUGUAAGACAGUAGAACUUAAGCAGAAUUUAGAGUCCAAAGUUUAAACUCAGCAAAGAAAUGUGAAUGGAGAGCAUAGGAAAGCACAGGAAAACAUCUCAAGAUUUAAUUAUUUUUUACCCAAAUGAGAAUGCUGUUGAUUUUAGGACAGGAACUGCACUCUCUCACCCAGACUGGAGUGCAAUGGUGUGAUCACAGCUCACUGCAGCCUUGACCUCCCUGGGCUCAAGCAAUCCUCCCAUCUCAGCCUCCUGAGUAGCUCGGACCACAGGCGCAUGCCACCAUGCCUGGCUGAUUGUACUUUUUGUAGAGACAGGGUUUUGCUAUGUUGCCCAGGCUGGGCUGGAACUCCUGGACUCAAGUGAUCUGCCUGCAUCAGCCUCUCAAAGUGCUGAGAUUAUAGGCAUGAGCCAUUGCUCCAGAAUUUAAGGUCCUUCUUGAUGUGAGAGAACCAGAGCUUCUGCCACAUGGACCCUCCGGAAGAGAGCAGGGUCUGUGGACUUGAUGUUGGGUGCAUGUACCUGCAACUGCAGCAAGGCAUGUGGCUCUGACUCUGGGUCAUUCUGUAGUUCUAAAACGUUCCACGAGCAACUAAGCAACUACUGAACUGAAGGACUGUAUCCCUGUAUCUGAAGGACUAUACAUUCUUUAUAGCCAAGACUAUGCAAUAUUUAUCUCUUUCACUGCUCUAGUAAAAAUAUUUAAGAAUUCAUAAAGUUUAUGAUUCUUUCACUCAUCAGCCUCUGUGCCUCAUUGAUUCUUCUUCACAAAGUGUUCAUGAUCACUCGUCUUCUGAUUCUCAAAAGGAUUUGCUCAAAGAAUGUUUGCUGAACACAGUAUAAGGUCUUAAUCAUUUAAAUACAUGCUUUAAUUUCAGAGACUUCUCUUUGUUUUAUAGGGAGACACAUGUUGUUCUCUCAGGGAACAAGGAUCUUCUUCAACCCCUGCAUCCCCCACAUAGUGGCACAAAGGAAAUAUUUGUUGAAUGAAUGAAGUUAGCUGCUUUUCCUUUUUAAAAUAAUCUUGAUGUGUCACUACAUAUUUUGGUACACAUGCUUUCAAUAUUUGGUUAUUCAAGGAGACUGGGUUGGCAAAACUUUAAAUAGAUGCUAUGGUAGAAGCAGUAAAGCUUGCAUUUAGCUUGGAUAUGUUGAGAAGAAACAUGGGUACAUUUUCAUCUUCAUGAUCCUCCUCACCUAAAGCCAUGGGCUGUUGGAAUGUCUGCAGAGUAGGUUGUACAUACAAAGACAUUUUCGCUCUUACUUGUUGGAACCCCUGAAUAUAUCUGGUCCCAUCACCACAGGUUGGUGGUGACGUUUUUCAAAACUAAAAUUAAAAAAUAAUGGAUUAGUAAAAACUCACCAUAAGAAGACCUGUAAUAAAAACUCCCAAACACAGAUAAUGGAAAAAUGUAAUGUUAUUGACUCAGAUAAAUAUAAGCCAUUGACUUUAACUUGAGAAAUGCAGCUUUUCCCCCAACUUUCUUACAGAUUCCUCAAUUAUAGUACAGAGGAGUUAAAAUUUAAGUGCUUCCCGAUUCUAAAGUAGCUGGUCCAAUUUCGACCAAUUUGGAUCAGCUACUUUUCUUCUCCAUUUGAAACUUUCCAACAAUAAAGAAGAUAGUCUUCUUGUACUUGAUCUCUACAGAAUUAAACAGAUGCUGUUUUUGGUGUGGACCUAAAUCAUAGCCCCUCAAUGAGUCUGUCAGCAGAGCUGGAAGUCACCAACUUUUAAAAGUAAAGUCCUAAUCCCUUAUUUUAUGAAAAUUAUAGUGCCACUGGAGGCAGAAAUCUAUCUUGUCCUCAAAAACUAUUGCACUUGAUCGGGUAUGGUGGUUCAUGCCUAUAAUCUCAGUACUUUAAGAGAUUGAGGCCAGUGGAUCACUUAAGACCAGUAGUUUGAGACAGCCUGCACAACAGGGCAAAACUACAUCUCUACAAAAAAUAAAAAAUAAUUAGUAGGUUGUGGUGGUAUGUGCCUAUAGUCUCAGCUACUCAAGGAGGCUGAGGUGGGAGGAUCCUUUCAGCCCAGGAGUUUGAAGCUGCAGUAAUCCACAGUGGCACCACUAUGCUCAGCCUGGGGAACAGAAUGAGACCUUGUCUCAAAACCAAACAACCAAACAAGCUAUUGCAAUUUAGUUUUGAUGUAAAAGGUAUAAAAAUCUGAGGACAUAAGAGCAGUUUCAUAUUAAAAAUAAUAUAUCACCUUGAGCAAAAUAGAUAAUGAAAGUAUUAUGUAAAUAGUGUAUUUUAAAUCAUUUAUUCAACCUCUUUUUAAAAAUUUUUUGACUUACUGAAAGAAAAAUCAAAGUUUUCAAAAAGAACUGUCCCCACACACAGUCCCCUACCCCCACCUACCCUUCGAUUUCCAUCACUAUAGUCCGGAACAAGUAUUAUUUAUAGUUAAAAGAUGCAUCAGUCAGCUCAGCUAACUAAAGUUCCAAAUGCAUUCAGCUGCCUACUGCUAAAGCCCAGUUUCGAAAGCUUUUAUCUGUCACCAAGACCAGCCAUCCAAACCACUGAAACUCAGAUUCAGUACAAGCCUGUGACAGAGGCCAAUCCCAUGCGCAGAAGCUCCCUCUCUGCCUCACAAUUCUGAUUUCACUUCAAAGAUCCAGUUUCCCUCGCAACUCUCAUCCUACCUGAGGUCUUGUUCUUGUGACUUUUUUAAUCUCAAGAUUACCCCCAUUCACCUGAGUGAAUCACAAUAGAGUGGCCAGCGAUACGGGCCUAAGUAGACAAGAGUUCAGAAAAGGAGGCCAUGCGUGACUUAAAGAAAUGUCAAAUCUAAUAGAUUGGUAUCAAAGAUAAACAGAAACCCCAAUAUCAAGUAUUUGAAACGUACAAAAUUUGCAGCAAAAUAUUACAAAUAGGUAAUACUAAAUAAUGGACUAUAUCCGAUUAGUUUCCAUUUUAUAAUUCUCUCGUUACUAGAGUCAAAUAUGAACUAUUAUACUUCAUUAGUGGUCACUUUAGCUCUUCACUGCUUCAUACUCCUUUAACUGGUGUAUAUAUGUUGCAUGGUAAAUUUCUUGAAUGCUAAGAUCCUACUUUUGUAACCCCAUUGCACUUAGCAGGGAUGUACACCUAGACCUCCAUAUCAAGGUGAUCAAUAAAUGCUUGUUAAGAUGUAUAUGAAUAUGGAAGCAAUUACUCCUCUCUAACAACAACUGUAAAAAAUGUGGAAGCUCAGUGUUUUAUCAGCGAACCGGC